CGUAGGGUGCAAGCGUUAAUCGGAAUUACUGGGCGUAAAGCGUGCGCUGGCGGUUUUGUAAGACAGGCGUGAAAUCCCCGGGCUCAACCUGGGAACUGCGCUUGUGACUGCAAGGCUAGAGUACGGCAGAGGGGGGUGGGAUUCCACGUGUAGCAGUGAAAUGCGUAGAGAUGUGGAGGAACACCAAUGGCGAAGGCAGCCCCCUGGGUCGAUACUGACGCUCAUGCACGAAAGCGUGGGUAGCAAACAGGAUUAGAUACCCUGGUAGUCCACGCCCUAAACGAUGUCAACUAGGUGUUGGGUGGGUAAAACCAUUUAGUACCGGAGCUAACGCGUGAAGUUGACCGCCUGGGGAGUACGGCCGCAAGGUUA
Molecule: ribosomal RNA, 372 nt
Filed under: uncultured organism
Description: bacterial SSU rRNA
Rfam family: Bacterial small subunit ribosomal RNA
Source: RNAcentral